RNAcentral lists this ribosomal RNA (1382 nucleotides) under human gut metagenome. Its description in RNAcentral is "bacterial LSU rRNA". It matches the Rfam family "Bacterial large subunit ribosomal RNA", at positions 1148 to 2555 of the family's 2925-position model. The record is from RNAcentral.
GUCGAGAGGUCCUGCGCCGAAAAUGUCCGGGGCUGAAACACGACACCGAAGCUUAGGAAUCACAUAGUGAUUGGUAGAGGAGCAUUCUUAAAACCGACGAAGCUGUACCGGAAGGAGCAGUGGAGGGAUAAGAAGAGAGAAUGCCGGAAUGAGUAGCGAGAGAGAGGUGGGAAUCCUCUCGGCCGAAUAUCCAAGGUUUCCAGAGUAAAGCUGAUCUGCUCUGGGUAAGUCGGGGCCUAAGGAGAGGCAGAGAUGCGUAUCCGAUGGACAGCAGGUUUAAGAUUCCUGCACCCCUUGUUAUCAGAACUGCGGGGACACGGGAAGGGAAGCAGAGCCGGGAAUGGAAAGCCCGGUGCAAGCGAAGUAGUCGCAGGGUUGGAAAAUCCGCCCUGCAUGAGACGAAGGCGUGAUGCGGAGCGAAAUGAAGUAGUGAAGCUGCGGCCCCUUCCUGUCGAGAAAAGCCGCUAUCGUGUAGCAAGGGCCCGUACCGUAAACCGACACAGGUGGAUGAGGAGAGGAUCCUAAGGCCGGCGGGAGAAGUGUUGUUAAGGAACUCGGCAAAAUGACUCCGUAACUUCGGGAGAAGGAGUGCUGCGCAAGCAGCCGCAGAGAAAUGGCCCAAGCAACUGUUUAGCAAAAACACAGGUCUAUGCGAAACCGAAAGGUGAGGUAUAUGGGCUGACGCCUGCCCGGUGCUGGAAGGUUAAGGGGAGAGGUUAGCGCAAGCGAAGCUUUGAACUUAAGCCCCAGUAAACGGCGGCCGUAACUAUAACGGUCCUAAGGUAGCGAAAUUCCUUGUCGGGUAAGUUCCGACCCGCACGAAAGGCGUAAUGAUUUGGGCACUGUCUCAACAACACACCCGGUGAAAUUGAAAUACCAGUGAAGAUGCUGGUUACCCGCGCCAGGACGGAAAGACCCCAUGGAGCUUUACUCCAGCCUGAUACUGGGAUUCGGUAUUGCAUGUACAGGAUAGGUGGGAGGCUAAGAACUCAUGGCGCCAGCCGUGAGGGAGCCGAUGUUGGGAUACCACCCCUGCAGUACUGGGUUUCUAACCUGCGCCCGUGACCCGGGCGGGGGACAAUGUCAGGCGGGGAGUUUGACUGGGGCGGUCGCCUCCGAAAGGGUAUCGGAGGCGCUCAAAGGUUCCCUCAGAAUGGACGGAAACCAUUCGAAGAGUGCAAAGGCAGAAGGGAGCUUGACUGCGACACCGACGGGUGGAGCAGGUACGAAAGUAGGACUUAGUGAUCCGGUGGUAUAAAGUGGGAUUGCCAUCGCUCAACGGAUAAAAGCUACCCUGGGGAUAACAGGCUUAUCACUCCCAAGAGUUCACAUCGACGGAGUGGUUUGGCACCUCGAUGUCGGCUCAUCGCAUCCUGGGGCUG